Molecule: long non-coding RNA, 5796 nt
Filed under: Daucus carota (carrot)
Lineage: Eukaryota; Viridiplantae; Streptophyta; Magnoliopsida; Apiales; Apiaceae
Description: long non-coding RNA (DCAR_LNC000763)
Source: RNAcentral
UCAUAGUUGCGGAAAUUUUGUCUGCUAUGAUCCCAAAAAAAAAACAGUCAAGCGACUUGCUGGUACUACUUCUCAUAUGAAUCUGGGAAGCUGCUUUACAUAUGUGCCUAGUUUGGUUUACCUUCAAGGAAUGAAGACUGUUCAUGUGCAAACCCAAGCUCGUAUAUCUGGUAAUACUUUCAGAACUCCGCGAAGAUUGAUUAAUUCACUAAGGGGAUGAUAUUUUGCUCAAGGUUGACCAGAAGUUUAGACUAUUUUAAUGUCUGACUAAAUGUUUAGUUAGACAAUUAAUCAAUAGUAGACAGACUGAUCCUUUGCUUGACCACCACUGGCUGUUUAGACUAUUUUAGUGUUCCGUGAUCAGUUAAACUGCUUCAAAUUUAGAGUUCCGGUUUGGUAACUAUGUGCCUUUUGGACUUCUUUUUUUUCCUUGAUCCUUAGGUUCUGUUUGUGGGCAUAUUAUGGAACUGGGAAAUUAUUACUACCAGUUUCUUGGUUUCUUCUAUAUUAAUGUCAUAUAUUGAUUUUGCCCUCACUUUUUUUCCUAGCUACUAUUGCUUUGAAACAUAAGAAGUAUCUAUAUAUAGUUUCUAAAUUGACUUCAAGUUCGAUGAACAUGGCAUGUCAUGGGUUGACAUUAUACCUAUAUGCUGUAUGUUGGUUUAAUAUAGAUUAUAUCAAAUAUCUGCUCUUCAUAAUGUCAAUUUGAUCAAUUCUUAAGUACGGAUAAACCACUAUGAUGGAUUUGUGGUGAAUAAAGAUUAAAGAAGCAAUCAACAAUAAGAAAUUUGCAUGACUAUGUAAUUAGCUCUCAAGUUGUAAAUUCACCUCAAUAAAUUAUUCUGUAUACUUGUGAAGUUUGAAGUAGUUGUGAUGAUAAAUGUUUCUUUUCUAAGCUAUUGAAUAAGUACCAAUUUAUGCAUAGACUAUUCUGACCUUAAUCUUUAUUCACCACAAAUCAUAAAAGCAGCACAUAUUUGGUAGAGACAGAUUCUUAAAGAAUGUAGGACACUACAUCUGAACCAGUGAUGAUAGUAGAAGCUGCUAUUAACCUGACCAUUUUCUUUAGUUACUGAGAUUUUGGAGGAAUCAUGAUGCACCCGGUAACAGUGACGAUGGUGGAAGUUGAUCUAAACACAACUGUCCCCUAUAAUUUCUUUAAUAUAGAAGGUGUCGAAGCCUAAAGUCCUGAUUUAUACUACAAAACUAUGCAGUGUUACCAUUUUGUGCAAUUACAUGUAACAUGAAGCUUUAACAUUAUUUUAUUAAUAAAUAUUGGAUGUUACCGGACCAAAACCCCCCAAGCAUUUGUCUUGCAUUGUUUUGAUUUGUAGUCGAGGACCUUAUCAAGUUAUUAUCUAUUUUGUUCACUAGCCAUAACUUUCAAGACUAGGACAUGAGAUGUUUUGAUUUGUAGUUAAGGACCUUAUCAAGUUAUUAUCUAUUUUGUUCACCAGCCAUAUAUUUCAAGACGAGGAGAUGAGAUAGUAGUUCAAACUUAGAUCCAUUUAGGAAAUCAUCCAUCAGUGCUAUUUUAUUAGUAGAGCUCAUACUUCUACUUGGAUCAGCAAAUAUAUAAUCCUUACCUAGUUAGGGACUGUCGAUACUUUAAUAUGUUUAUUUGGGCUUAAACACUAGAAAUGCUAACUGGUAGCAUUUUAUCAUCCAACUCAAUAAACUGACCAUUAUUACUGAUUUAGUUUCAGCUUCUCUGGUCUUUCCUAAUAUCUAUGGUCUUUUAAAUGUAUCAAAAACCUUUAACUUCUUUUUUAUGUAAGUGAUGAAAGCUCAAUAGCUAUCACUUCUCUUAUAGAAUUAAAUGUGGAGUACUUCCAGUGCUGUAUUUCGACCUAUUCUCUGGGUUAUGUCAUUUGCACUCUACUAUAUAGGACUCAAAUAUAUGAAGUUUGAUAUAGUUGUUCUCUUAGGCACUCUACUAGUAUCAAGUAUUGAUAACAUGAUCAGCUUUGAUCAUAUUAUGGAGUUGUUAGCUGCCAUAAGACUAAAUAUCCCCUUUUUAGUUACUUUGGUUCCGGUAGAAUUACACUGCAUCCGGAAACACUGCUGAUGGUGGAAGCUGAUCUGAGAACAACUAUUCACUCUAAUUUCUUCGAUUCAGGAGUUGAAGCCUAAAGUCCAGAUUUGCACAUCCAAACUAUGCACUAUUCCCAUUUUGUGCAUAUACAUGUCACAUAAAGUUAUGACAUAUUUUGUUAAUUACAUUUUCUGGUAUUUAAGUGUCCAGACUGAAAACCUGACGGUUUUUUUCCUGGCAUCAGUCUGACAUUGUUUUGGUUUGUAGUCGACGAGCUUAUGAAGUUAAUCUCCAUUCUGUUUUGUAGCCGCAACUUUAAAGACUAGGAAAUGAAAUAAUAGUCCGACCUCAGAAUCUUUUGAGAAUCCAUCCAGUGUCUGCUCUAUCCUAUUGGCAACAACUUGUUGAAUAUGCAUUGUCUCAAAAGAAUGCAGUCACCAGGGCUCAUCAUAUUUGGAGAGAAAUAAACUCGCGGCUUCAGGACAGAGCCUUGCGUGAUCCCACGGCUUUAUGGGUAAAAGAGUAUUGCUUGAUCAGGCCAAGUCAUUAAUGCUAACUUGGUUGAUGCUAGGAGCUCAUUUACUUGUACUAUUUGAUACCCUUGCCAAGUUAACACUUAUUUGAGUAGCUGAAUUAUUUUCUUAUUGGUGCUGGGGUGCCUAGCAGCAUUGCUUUAUGAGUAAUCCGUCACUUGGCUCUUUUAUUCACACAUUGGCUACUCGCGGACCUGUGAGUCUGUGUCUGCGCCAUUGUUCCUAGCUAUUUAUUUAUUGGAGUAGUUUACGAAUUACGAGAGAUAAUAAAAUGACGAAGCACAUAAAUUUUUCAACUCCCUAAUAGAUAAAUAAAUGAACGAGUACGAUUGAAUAGUUCAGUGAUCACUCUAUUAAAGACGUAAUCUUAUAAUAUGUGUAAUUAUGGGCUAUAUAUUAAAAAUAUUAUUAUCAUUAAUAUUUUUAUUAUAGUAAUUGUAGAGUUUAAAGAGUUUUAAUAAAUAUUGACAACAUACGAGAUUGAUAUUUUUUUUAGGAAAAAAUGAUUUUUUGAAUAGAGUGAGAAUUUUUACAGAAGUAUUUAUAUAGAUUUUAUUUGAGAUAUCGUUUAUUCAAUUUUAGCUAAAAUUUUAGAAGAAUUAGGAAUUCUUCCAACACUUAAAAUGCAAAAGGGAAAAUAGAUUUUUUUGCCACUCAACUUAUAGUGUUUUUAGAAACUUACCACCCAACUAAUUUUUUUAUUCUUUUAGUCACUAAUGUUAGGUUUGGUUUUGUUUUUAACCACAAGCUUAGGUUUGGAUUUGAUUACUAGCAUUAUGAUGAUUUUUUGUAUCAUCAUUUAUACAUAGUGAUAGUAUCUAAUAUUUUGAUGAUGUGUCGUAUGUUUAUAUCCUUAUAUAUAGCAAUAGUAAUAUAAAAUGAGCCGAUGAAAAAUUAAAAUCAGGAAUAAUAAUAAUUAGAUUCUAAAAAUUCAAUAAAUCAUGAAUAUGAAAUCAAUGACUUCAAACAAUUCACCCUCUCUCAUAAGAUAAAGUGUAAUUGAGUGAUAUGACGCAUCAUCUUUCGCUAUUAAACUUUCAAUGGACUAGCCCAGUCUAAGAUCUUUCGUAAAUUUAUCUUUAAAAAUUUUAAUAACUUUAUUUUAUUACAAUUUUCGAGAUAAAUAAAUAGAGAGGAAAACUUAAUUAUCGAUGAUUGUCCUCUAUAUAUAAUGCAUCAUUUUAUAUUAUUAUUACUCCCUGCGUCCCUCUCAUUAGUUUACAAAUUUUCUCUAGUGCUUAGCAUGUAUUUAAGAUUUUUUAUAAAACAUAGUUUCAUAACUUAUUUUUGUGUGUAAAAAUUCAAACGCUGAAUUUUCAUUCGGAAGAAAAAAUUAAAGUUAUAUAUGAAACUACAUCUUUUAAAGGCCAUAUAAUGGGUGUAAAAUUCUUAUCAUCCAAGUUAAGCGACCUUGAAGACAUAAAAAAUAGUACAUAUAAGAAUACAAACAUAUAUCAAAUCAUCAAAAUAUUACCGACUACCACUAUAUUUUAAUAAUGAUACACAUAAAAUGUAAUGCUGAUAAUCAAAUCUGAACCCACCUUCAGCGACAAAAAAAAGAGCUAAAUCUAACACUAGUGAGUAAAAUAAAAAAAAUUAUAAUUCAGUGGUUAGUUUCUAAAAACGCAAUAAGUUUAGUGACAAAAAAAUUAUCAUAAUGCUGGUAAUCAAAUCCAAACCUAAGUUGAUGGCUAAAAAUAAAACCAAACCUAAGAUUAAUGACUAAAAGAAUAAAAAAAUUAGUUGGAUGGUAAGUUUCUAAAAACACUAUAAGUUGAGUGGCAAAAAAAUCUAUUUUCCCAAUUCAAAAUGAAAAACUAGCAGAAACAGAAGAAAUUAAUUCGAUACUUAUUGCAGGAGUUAGCUUCAGAAAAAAUAAUUAACAUAAAUAAGCACAUGUUUUGCUCCGUCAUUUUCGAGCACAAUUUUCGCAUUUUUGAUUCACAUCUUGUCAGAACAGAGCAGGUACAUAUACACUAGCACAAAUUGCCCAAGCCUCCAGGAAAACAAAACAAAGGCGAUGGGUCAAAACGUCAAGAAGAAGAUCACGCCGGCGCAGCUGCCGGAGGAAUUGGUCCGGGAGGAGAUUCUCACACGACUCCCGAUAAAAUCGGCGGUGCGUUUCAAAAUCGUGUCCAAAUCUUGGCUCUCUCUUUUCUCCGACCCUAAUUUCUGGAAAAAGCAUCUCACUCGCAACUCUUCUCAAAACCCUAAUGACUACGACUGUCUCGUGGCUGCUAAACACCGCAGAGUCGUCGUUCUCUCUCGCUACAAAGAAACAUUUGUACUGCCUUCCGAUAAUUACGAGGUGGUUGGUUCUGUUCAGGGCUUAAUUUGUCUCCGCCGUGCCAAAAAAUUGUCGUUAUGGAACCCUGCUAUUCAUCAGUCCAGGGAGUUCACUCUUCCGGCACAACAUCAAGAACGUCAUGCUGAUCCGAGCCACAUUGGACUCGGUUUCGAUCACCCAUCGAAUGAUUACAAGGUGGUUGUCUGCUAUGUGUCGGGUGAUUCUCGGUAUGGUUGUGUUUACUCGGGGAAUUCUGAUUCGUGGAGCGAUGUGUUUGUUCCUGAUAAUGUGUUUUUCAGAACUGAAAAAAAGGACUGGGAGAAGCGCGGACCCAAGACUAUUGCUAAGUACUGUCCUUAUUGGAAAUGCCGUACGUAUCUGUCUAAUGAUGUGCAUGUUCGAUCUUUGGCUGUCAUGAAGUUCGAUGUGGGGAGUAAUGAAUUCAAGUUGUUGCCUGAAUUUGAGUUUGGUGCAAGUGAACAGAAUUGGGACCAUGGCAAGCGCUAUGCACUAGUCACUCUGAAUGAUUGUCUUACUUUGAUGACGUAUAAGCCGUCUAAAGAUAGUGUUGUGAAUGUUUAUUCAUUGGACGAGGAAGGUUUGUGUGUUUGGAGUAAAAUUUAUAGUGUUGGACCUCUUGAUCUUGAUACCCAUCAUUUGGACUUGUCACAGGGUUUUAGGUAUGGGGGAGAGUUUGUAUGUCAUUUUUGCGGAAAUUUUGUCUGCUAUGAUCCCCAAACAAAUACAGUCAACCGACUUGCUGGUAGUACUUCUCAUUUGAAUCUGAUAAGCUGCUUUCCGUAUGUGCCUAGUUUGGUUUACCUUCAAGGAAUGAAGACUGUUCAUAUGCAAACCCAAGCUCGUAUAUCUGGUAACACUUUCAGAACUCCUCGACGAUUGAUUAAUUCACUAAGGGGAUGAUAUGUUGCUCAAGGUCGACC